AGAGAAAUGGAAUGAAAAAUCUUCAAAGCUGGAAGGACAAAGGGAGUUUCCUGUUCUAGGAUGUGAUGUGAAGGGAAAUUAGAAGAUGGACUGUCCUGAAGCAUAGACAUGACCCUCUCCAACUCAUCAUCUGAGAUCAGCUGUCCUGGUAGGAACCCCUCCAGCCAACCCUUCCUCAAGUUAUAUACUUCUAUCUACUGGAAAAUUGACAUUCAAUGCAUUUUCCCAAGUCUCAUGGAAGGGUUUCACAGCUUAGAGCUCAGCCUCAGAGUGGACUAGCACACAGCUGUUUCGGAGACUGGAGGAUAGCCUGCUGGGAUAGAGGUUUCCCUGGAAGAUACAGAGCUGUGAGCCAAUCCCAGGCAAUUCUGCAGAGCAUCCCAUCUGAUCCCACACAUUUGAGAAUGGAUGGACUAACCUGAAGUAUUACAGAGCAGCAGUGCAGAAGUGGGGACA
This 456-nucleotide long non-coding RNA is filed under the name Homo sapiens (human). RNAcentral describes it as "non-protein coding lnc-PRELID2-1:3". Lineage: Eukaryota; Metazoa; Chordata; Mammalia; Primates; Hominidae. The record is from RNAcentral.